Molecule: ribosomal RNA, 400 nt
Filed under: uncultured bacterium
Lineage: Bacteria
Description: bacterial SSU rRNA
Rfam family: Bacterial small subunit ribosomal RNA
Source: RNAcentral
AAUAUAUCGGAACGUGCCCAGUCGUGGGGGAUAACGUAGCGAAAGUUACGCUAAUACCGCAUACGAUCUAAGGAUGAAAGCGGGGGAUCGCAAGACCUCGCGCGAUUGGAGCGGCCGAUAUCAGAUUAGGUAGUUGGUGGGGUAAAGGCUCACCAAGCCAACGAUCUGUAGCUGGUCUGAGAGGACGACCAGCCACACUGGAACUGAGACACGGUCCAGACUCCUACGGGAGGCAGCAGUGGGGAAUUUUUGGACAAUGGGCGCAAGCCUGAUCCAGCAAUGCCGCGUGCAGGAUGAAGGCCUUCGGGUUGUAAACUGCUUUUGUACGGAACGAAACGGUGAGCUCUAAUACAGUUUGCUAAUGACGGUACCGUAAGAAUAAGCACCGGCUAACUACGUG